AUGCUGCGCUGUCGCCCCAGGGUGGGGUUGGGUGUCUUGGGGAGGGGGAUGGGCUCCCUCAGCGCCCCCCGCAGGUGGCCCCGCCUCUCCUGGAUCACCUGUCGGAUACUGCGGACCCACUCCUGCUUCAGCUCCAGCGACGACGCCUGCGGAGGGAGAGAGAGUGACGAGGUGAACAAACAAGCAAACCUUUAUCGACAGGUCAAACAACGAGGUGAAGUUACUCACUUUCAGCACCGUCUUGUUGUCGGACGUCGGCGUUCGUCCGACCCACAGAGCAAACUUACAGGGGUCGCCCUCGAUGUGCUCUGUCACACCGAGCUCCGAGGUCUGACGGAGCGACAGGAAGCAAACAGGUAUUUGGUUCGUCCAGACGAGUCCUUGAUUUCCUUGCUGAAGAUGAGCGACAGCUCGAACAGGAAGAGAUGUCGGUCGCGUCCCUUCCUGAUCAGAGACUUCGGCUCCCAGACCGGGAAGGAGUCCUGGAGGAGGAGCUCACCCUGGACCUCCAGACCCUCCUCCAGACCUGACAGUGAAAUGAACAGAUGUCCUGGAUGUUUCCGAACACGAUGUCGUCCUUGUUGUUGAGACCUGACGGGACGUCCUCUGAGCCGCUCGUCAUCUCCCACAGGUACGUCUGCACCAGGAUACAGUGUUACCAUUACGUUCUUGCUGUCACACGAGGAUAAACUCUGAAUCUCAACUGAAGCCGACAUGAACAUAACGUCCAGAUGAAUCUCACAUUAAAUGAAAAUAUCACCAUGUACAACCUUCAUCUGCAUGUGAUAUGAUCGAAUGGUCCAUAGGAUUUACUAAUUUGAUCUUUUGGUAAGAUUUUGGUACUACAUGGAAAAAUGUAGUGACAUAUGUCACAACGCAGUAUUAUAGAAUAUAUAAAUACAGUGGUAUUAAUGUUACUGUGAAGUUUACCUCAAUACACUCCUGCAGAUCUCUGACAUAAACUCUCUCUGUCUGAAGGAGCUCUGCCAUGAUGUACCUGAAAACACAAGUACACACAAACAGAGUUGUUAUCAGUGGAUAUACAUCAGUACCUGUAGUACUAGUACUAAUAGUAAUACUACUCACUCUUUCUUGCGAGCGGAGCGUCUCUUCUCGUCGCUGACCUGGUGGCUGGGGUCGGACAGGUUGACCUCGGGGUCGGAGUCAGACAGACUGUUGGGGAUCAGCUCCAGCUCCAGGUCCUUAUUGUUCUAUCAGGGCCACCGUACGUUAAAGUCAGUCGCUGUCAGUCUUACACUUACACCAGUUAAAUAUCCACACACAUUUUAACUCUACCUGUGAGCAGCCUCCUAGCGCCGUCUCCAGCAGGUGGCGGUACUGUCCCAUCCUGAAGGUGAAGUCGCGGUAACGCUUGUCGACGGUGGAGACGCAGCGGCGGAGCUCAUUGCGGUGGGCGUGGCCUUUAGCCAGCAUGCUCUCAGCCAGCUGGAUCAGCAGGUGAACCUUCUCCUGGGUGUGCUGACAGAAAUCAUUUCAAGUUUUAUAUAUAGUUAUUGACCGUUUCAUAUACAGUCUCUGAUCAGCGAUAUUGAUCGUGUAGAGUUCUGUUUUUUUCACCUUGGCAGAAACACAGAACUCUCUGUGUUGGUUCAACAGUUCUUGAGUCUCGGCCAUAUUUGCCCCCGGCGACGUGUGCGUGGUGAGGUAGUGGUCACCUGACUGCUGCAGCCAAUCCAGAGCCUGGAACAAAAGGACGCGUUAAGCCUCAGUCAAAAUUUCUCAAUACAAUUUUAAGGUGUUUCUACUUGAGUAUUUACAUUUUAUGCUACUUCUAUCUCUCUGGUCCGUCUUGAAUAUAAACAGUUAAAUAUUAAAGAUGAGUAUGUGACUGCCUAUCCACCAAUAGGAAUGAGUCGAUUUUCUACCUGCUGGGUGUGGCUCUGGAACAUCAGAUACUGCUGGCACUGAUCCAGUCGACGCUUCUUCAACGUCCAGAAAUGAAGGACUCUGUUUUCUCUCUGCAGCAGCUCACUGAGUAUACCUGCACACAAACGGAAAUUAACUCUUUAACAUCCACAUAUAUGUAUAAACAAAUUAACCGUGGCGUUCCUCAGGGCUCCAUCCUGGCUCCACUCCUCUUCUCUAUUUACUCUGACCAUGUAAAUGUGUGUGUGUGUGUGUGUGUGUGUGUGUGUGUGUGUAUGUGUGUGUGUGUUUGUGUGUGUGCUUAUUCACCUUUGACCUGUUGCUCCGGUACCCUGGAGUGCCCGGUGACCUCGGUAACCCCGGAGACGGUGACGCUGUGGCCAGAUAUGUUCGCCAUGGUGACGCUGUUGCGAUGGAUGUACUUAAGGAAAACCUCAGCAUUUCGUCUGGCCAGCGUGCAGGCCUGUUGCCAUGGAAACAAAACAGUCAGAGAUCCCCAUACAUUAGUUCAUUGACACUAAUGAAUGCUGAGUUUGAUAUAAAUUUUUUUGGGGCCUCGUCACCUUUAGGAACGCCUCCUUCUGCUCCAUGUGUUUAUUGACGAGCGGCAGCAGCAGCUCCUGGUUGCCGCUCUCCUCCUCCACACCAGUCCUCCUCCCGACGGUACUCCUGCUCCAGACUCUCAAGCACCCCACACACCUAAGACACAGACAGACAGACAGGUGAGGAGAAAGACAGACAGGACGGGUCAGGGGACAGACUGACAGAGAGACAGACAGUGUUACCUGCUGGGACGUCCUGUAGAAAGCCGCGGAGGCGUUGACUAGUUUGAGUCGGUCCUCGAUCCUGAGCAUCAGCGUCUGCCAGUGCAGCGCCACCGUCUGUGCACAAGACCUCACUGCGUCCGGAUCAUAGUGACCUGACCUGAGGGCGGAGGGGCGAGGUCAGAGGUCACAUGGUUAGGUUCUAGGUGAAGAUUAACCUGAAGGAAAUAAAUCUGACAUAAUCACCUAAAAUCUGUAACCACGUUACCAACAUGUUUGGAAACAGAAAAAUAAAAUACUAAUGUUGAACGAUUCCUUUAAGCUUUAACUACCAUUUAGAUAUGUGGUAAUAAAGCUAAAGUCAUUUUAGCUUGCACUGCUAACAAAUUCAGAAACCGACUAUUGAUUAUUUCUACUCAUACUAACUCAUCUGUUUGAUACUGUCUAAACUUGGAACGGAUGUUUUCUGAACAUUUCCAGGGGACUCACCUGACGAGCAGCUCUGCUCUCUGCUGCAGAGCCAGAGCCACCUGAUGCGUCCUCUGCAGGGAGUCAGCGUGGAGCAGCGCCUGAGGAGGAGACGAUUGAGAGAAUACAGACAGACCAGGUGUGAACACGUCAUUAUCUUUAAUCUGUAAGGACAUGUUAUGUUUGUGUGUGGACAAAGUCCUCAUCAACGUCCCGCUGCUGUAUGUGCAGUUACCUCUAUUGCCUGCUGGAGGCGCUCGUGUUCCCUCUGCAGCUGCUCGGCUUCAGAUAAACAGCUGGAGUUCAACAUGCAGGACGACAACAUGACCUCGCCCUCCGAGAUCCAACCGAGCACCUGAGACACAGACAGGUACAGAUCAUCAUGUACAGGGGGGCAGAUGUCUGUGUGUGUGUGUGUGUGUGUGUGUGUGUGUGUGUGUGUGUGUGAGUGUGAGUGAGUGUGUGUUACCUGUUUGACCUGGCUCUGCAGGUGUCUCAGCUGCAGGUUCUGCUCCAGGUGUGUGUGUGUGUGAUCUGCGAUCUGCUGUAGCUCCUUCUGUUUGUCCUGCAGGUGGCGCUGCAGCUCCUCCACCUGAGAGGAGAGGCCCCCCUCGGCCUCCGACAGCUCGAUACCUUAAAACACACACACGUUCAAAGUGUGUUGGGUCCUCACAAGUGCAUCAAAAGCAGCAGUGUAUGUGUGUGUUUUCCUGUUCAUUCAUGUGAAUAUGAUUGCAGAGAUACUGUAUGCUGCUUGUGUGUGUGUGUGUGUGUGUGUGUGUGUGUGUGUCUCCAUGGCAAAUUCAAUACGCUGGUUUCCACGGAGACCAUCUGUGUGCUUCAGAGACCAGUUUCCAUGGUAACCCCAUCCCCCCUUUUCCCCCUCCCCUCAUUAUUCUCUCUUCCCCCUUUCCCCCAAAUAUCAUCAAUGUGGUCAAACUGAAGCUGCUUUCUGCAUUCUAUUAGAUUCUGUUCUGUUCUGUUCUAUGAGUAGAGGAGAUUAUAAUAUAAUCAAUAUGGUAUCAUAGUAGCCUUUUUUCCUGUUCAUACCAUCAAGAACCCCUGGAAAACCCUCAAGGAAAUCCAAAAAACCCUCAAGCACUGCUCCCAGACCCACAAGCUGUUCAGAUGACUAGUAGCAAGGAAUUCAAGGACCACAUGGACCUUUUAAUGAAUCUCUCAGCCCAAACAAAUUCACUAAUGAAACGAACACUUUCACCUAGAACAAGAGAAAAACCCCUAACGCCCCAAAGACCACUGAGGCACUAUCACACAUCUGUGGAAAUUCAUCAGAAGCAUCUGGACGCCAUAUUCAAAGGACAAGGAGCUCUGAAACACACAUGUAAGACAAUGUGGUCCCCUUCUCUCUUCUUGUGGUGUACGCCAAGACUCAAUCAUAGGUCCCCAUACUUUUCUGUGUAUUUUAGCUGAUUAACUUUUAUUAUUCAAAAAACAUGGAGGUUUGUCUCUGACCUGAUGUUUGGACCUCGGUGAUGUACUGCUGAAGGUCGUGACCUUGCUGGAUGACCUCAUAGAUCAUGUUGUUCAUAGCCAGCCUGCGCUCCAUGUGCCUGCAGAUCAGUUAAUCAGUCAGUCCAUCAACUCCUGCGAUGACCUUUUAUUAAUGCGUCAUUUUCAUGCUGAGCGAUGAUGAUGUCAUCACACCGGCCAGGUUACCUGUGGAUGCGCUGCUGCGCUAGUGUUAGCGCCUCGGGGCUGGCCUCCACUAAUCGUGAUUGGCCCAGGGCUAGCUUGUCCUGGUUUACGUCGGCUAGCCGCGUUGAUGCUUGCUUUUCAGUGGAGAAGUCCUGGGACUGUUUCUGGAGGUCCUGCUUCCAGGCGUCUAUUUCCCCGGUCACCUACAGACACGCACAGACGCAGUUCAACCUUGAUCCACUGCCGAGGAAGGAAGUUCAAGAAAUGUUUUUGAUACUAUUUGUAAAUUAAGAACCGAACUGUACCUCCAGCGUGCACUGCUGUAGGAUACGGAGCUGCAAGUAAACAUCCAGUCGGAUCUUCCUCUGGUGGAAAAGCUCCUCGAGUUGAACGUGAGACUCCUCCAGCUGCUGCAGCACUGACUCCACAUGGGCCACUGAGCUGCCCUGGGGCCUGAAACAAACACACCCGCACAAAAAACAAAACUGAAAAUAAAAAACAAACUAUAAAUAAAUACAAAUAAAAAGGUACCCACCCACACAGUCUCUACUAUCCGGAAAACAAAUGCUCCUUUACAAGUUAUACGAACUAGAAAACAAACCCACAAAUUAUACAAAGGAGAAAAAUAUACAACACAGUCAUUUUAUACAAAACGGAAAACCACUGCACCCACAAUCAUUGCAAACUCCAACUCCACAGGCUUCUGAGCUGCCAUGAUCAGUGAAUCAAGCGCACCCACGAAGGCUUUACAAAGCUAGAAACAAACGCACCCAGUGCA
Scophthalmus maximus (turbot) is the source of this 5553-nucleotide long non-coding RNA. The record is from Ensembl. NCBI's taxonomy places the organism in Eukaryota, Metazoa, Chordata, Actinopteri, Pleuronectiformes, Scophthalmidae.